AUAAAGAUUGAAAUAAAAAAGGACUGCAAGAAACUUUUCCUUGUCUUUAUGCUUUCCUAGGCAACCAGCUGGGAGCCGCUGACAGCAUCCUGACAUCAGGAGAGAGAGAGAGAGAGAGAGAGAGAGAGAGAGAGAGAGAGAGAGCGCAUAGGGGCUGUCUACUGAUAUUCCUGAAUUGCAUUUUUGAAGUAAAUGAAGUAGCUAAUGACCCAUCAAGAUGCCCAGCACACUUGGACAGUUGGAGGAGAAUGGUAGUGGCACAGGCUGCAAGCGUAAAUAUGUCUAUUCAGAGGCGAGACCCGUUGAAUUCAAUUGGGCUUACUUUCAGAUGACCUGGCUAGCUGCUGAUGUCAAGCACUGCAACCCGAAAAUC
Molecule: long non-coding RNA, 373 nt
Filed under: Podarcis muralis (Common wall lizard)
Lineage: Eukaryota; Metazoa; Chordata; Lepidosauria; Squamata; Lacertidae
Description: lncRNA (ENSPMRG00000021141.1)
Source: RNAcentral